RNAcentral lists this ribosomal RNA (465 nucleotides) under uncultured bacterium. RNAcentral describes it as "partial 16S ribosomal RNA". It matches the Rfam family "Bacterial small subunit ribosomal RNA", at positions 338 to 795 of the family's 1533-position model. The record is from RNAcentral.
CCUACGGGUGGCAGCAGUGGGGAAUUUUGGACAAUGGGCGCAAGCCUGAUCCAGCUAUUCCGCGUGUGGGAAGACGGCCUUCGGGUUGUAAACCACUUUUGUCGAGGACGAAAAGUCUAUUGUUAAUACCGAUCGACGCUGACGUUACUCUCAGAAUAAGCACCGGCUAACUACGUGCCAGCAGCCGCGGUAAUACGUAGGGUGCGAGCGUUAAUCGGAAUUACUGGGCGUAAAGGGUGUGCAGGCGGUUGUGCAAGAUGGAUGUGAAAGCCCCGGGCUUAACCUGGGAAAGCCAUACAUGACUGGAAGACUAGAGUGUGUCAGAGGGGGGUAGAAUUCCAAGUGUAGCAGUGAAAUGCGUAGAUAUGUGGAAGAACACCGAUGGCGAAGGCAGCCCCCUGGGACGCAACUGACGCUCAUACACGAAAGCGUGGGGAGCAAACAGGAUUAGAUACCCCUGUAGUC